GACGAACGCUGGCGGCGUGCCUAAUACAUGCAAGUCGAACGGACCUUGCUUGGACGGAGUGGAGUACUUGUACAAAGCGAAGACUGAGCGCUGGUUAGUGGCGAACGGGUGAGUAACACGUAGGUAACCAACCGAUAAGACGAGGACAACUCAUGGAAACGUGAGCUAAUACUGGAUGUGGUAUAGAGAAGGCAUCUUUUCUAUAUUAAAGGAGCUUUUGGCUUCACUUAUUGAUGGACCUGCGGCGUAUUAGCUAGUUGGUAGGGUAGAAGCCUACCAAGGCGAUGAUACGUAGCCGAUCUGAGAGGAUAAACGGCCACACUGGGACUGAGAUACGGCCCAGACUCCUACGGGAGGCAGCAGUAGGGAAUUUUCCACAAUGGACGAAAGUCUGAUGGAGCAACGCCGCGUGUGUGAAGAAGGUUUUCGGAUUGUAAAGCACUGUUGUAUGGGAAGAAUAAGGUAAUGAGGAAAUGAAU
RNAcentral lists this ribosomal RNA (479 nucleotides) under uncultured bacterium. RNAcentral's name for it is "bacterial SSU rRNA". It matches the Rfam family "Bacterial small subunit ribosomal RNA", at positions 28 to 470 of the family's 1533-position model. The record is from RNAcentral.